This 253-nucleotide ribosomal RNA is filed under the name uncultured bacterium. RNAcentral's name for it is "partial 16S ribosomal RNA". It matches the Rfam family "Bacterial small subunit ribosomal RNA", at positions 524 to 776 of the family's 1533-position model. The record is from RNAcentral.
UACAGAGGUCUCAAGCGUUGUUCGGAUUCAUUGGGCGUAAAGGGUGCGUAGGUGGCAAGGUAAGUCGGGUGUGAAAUCCCGGGGCUCAACCCUGGAACUGCACUCGAUACUGCCAUGCUCGAGUACUGGAGAGGAGACUGGAAUUUACGGUGUAGCAGUGAAAUGCGUAGAUAUCUGGAGGAACACCGGCGGCGAAGGCGAGUCCCUGGACAAUUCCUGACGCUGAGGCACGAAAGCUAGGGGAGCAAACAGG